UGCAAGUCGAACGCUUUUUCUUUCACCGGAGCUUGCUCCACCGAAAGAAAAAGAGUGGCGAACGGGUGAGUAACACGUGGGUAACCUGCCCAUCAGAAGGGGAUAACACUUGGAAACAGGUGCUAAUACCGUAUAACAAGUAAAACCGCAUGGUUUUACUUUGAAAGGCGCUUUUGCGUCACUGAUGGAUGGACCCGCGGUGCAUUAGCUAGUUGGUGAGGUAACGGCUCACCAAGGCAACGAUGCAUAGCCGACCUGAGAGGGUGAUCGGCCACAUUGGGACUGAGACACGGCCCAAACUCCUACGGGAGGCAGCAGUAGGGAAUCUUCGGCAAUGGACGAAAGUCUGACCGAGCAACGCCGCGUGAGUGAAGAAGGUUUUCGGAUCGUAAAACUCUGUUGUUAGAGAAGAACAAGGAUGAGAGUAAAAUGUUCAUCCCUUGACGGUAUCUAACCAGAAAGCCACGGCUAACUACGUGCCAGCAGCCGCGGUAAUACGUAGGUGGCAAGCGUUGUCCGGAUUUAUUGGGCGUAAAGCGAGCGCAGGCGGUUUCUUAAGUCUGAUGUGAAAGCCCCCGGCUCAACCGGGGAGGGUCAUUGGAAACUGGGAAACUUGAGUGCAGAAGAGGAGAGUGGAAUUCCAUGUGUAGCGGUGAAAUGCGUAGAUAUAUGGAGGAACACCAGUGGCGAAGGCGGCUCUCUGGUCUGUAACUGACGCUGAGGCUCGAAAGCGUGGGGAGCAAACAGGAUUAGAUACCCUGGUAGUCCACGCCGUAAACGAUGAGUGCUAAGUGUUGGAGGGUUUCCGCCCUUCAGUGCUGCAGCUAACGCAUUAAGCACUCCGCCUGGGGAGUACGACCGCAAGGUUGAAACUCAAAGGAAUUGACGGGGGCCCGCACAAGCGGUGGAGCAUGUGGUUUAAUUCGAAGCAACGCGAAGAACCUUACCAGGUCUUGACAUCCUUUGACCACUCUAGAGAUAGAGCUUCCCCUUCGGGGGCAAAGUGACAGGUGGGUGCAUGGUUGUCGUCAGCUCGUGUCGUGAAGAAUGUUGGGUUAAGUCCCGCAACGAGCGCAACCCUUAUUGGUAGUUGCCAUCAUUUA
Molecule: ribosomal RNA, 1103 nt
Filed under: Enterococcus sp. VRE202B1_13_3E
Lineage: Bacteria; Bacillati; Bacillota; Bacilli; Lactobacillales; Enterococcaceae
Description: bacterial SSU rRNA
Rfam family: Bacterial small subunit ribosomal RNA
Source: RNAcentral